CAGUCGAACGCUUCUUUUUCCACCGGAGCUUGCUCCACCGGAAAAAGAAGAGUGGCGAACGGGUGAGUAACACGUGGGUAACCUGCCCAUCAGAAGGGGAUAACACUUGGAAACAGGUGCUAAUACCGUAUAACAAUCAAAACCGCAUGGUUUUGAUUUGAAAGGCGCUUUCGGGUGUCGCUGAUGGAUGGACCCGCGGUGCAUUAGCUAGUUGGUGAGGUAACGGCUCACCAAGGCCACGAUGCAUAGCCGACCUGAGAGGGUGAUCGGCCACAUUGGGACUGAGACACGGCCCAAACUCCUACGGGAGGCAGCAGUAGGGAAUCUUCGGCAAUGGACGAAAGUCUGACCGAGCAACGCCGCGUGAGUGAAGAAGGUUUUCGGAUCGUAAAACUCUGUUGUUAGAGAAGAACAAGGAUGAGAGUAACUGUUCAUCCCUUGACGGUAUCUAACCAGAAAGCCACGGCUAACUACGUGCCAGCAGCCGCGGUAAUACGUAGGUGGCAAGCGUUGUCCGGAUUUAUUGGGCGUAAAGCGAGCGCAGGCGGUUUCUUAAGUCUGAUGUGAAAGCCCCCGGCUCAACCGGGGAGGGUCAUUGGAAACUGGGAGACUUGAGUGCAGAAGAGGAGAGUGGAAUUCCAUGUGUAGCGGUGAAAUGCGUAGAUAUAUGGAGGAACACCAGUGGCGAAGGCGGCUCU
Molecule: ribosomal RNA, 698 nt
Filed under: Enterococcus faecium
Lineage: Bacteria; Bacillati; Bacillota; Bacilli; Lactobacillales; Enterococcaceae
Description: bacterial SSU rRNA
Rfam family: Bacterial small subunit ribosomal RNA
Source: RNAcentral